UACAGAGGGUGCGAGCGUUGUCCGGAAUCAUUGGGCGUAAAGAGCGUGUAGGCGGCCCGGUAAGUCCGCUGUGAAAGUCGGGGGCUCAACCCUCGAAUGCCGGUGGAUACUGUCGGGCUAGAGUGCGGAAGAGGCGAGUGGAAUUCCUGGUGUAGCGGUGAAAUGCGCAGAUAUCAGGAGGAACACCGAUUGCGAAGGCAGCUCGCUGGGACGUCACUGACGCUGAGACGCGAAAGCGUGGGGAGCAAACAGG
Molecule: ribosomal RNA, 253 nt
Filed under: uncultured bacterium
Lineage: Bacteria
Description: partial 16S ribosomal RNA
Rfam family: Bacterial small subunit ribosomal RNA
Source: RNAcentral